This 53-nucleotide non-coding RNA is filed under the name unclassified sequences. The record is from RNAcentral.
CGUGAGAGCAGGGGCAUUGCCCCUGUAAACGACAGAGCCGGUCUCAAGUCCGG